GCCUGCCUAGCUCAAUCGGAUAGAGCGUCAGACUCUUACGCCCGGCUCUGACACGAUUCACGAUUGAGGGGGAUGGGUGAUCUGAAGGCUGCGAGUUCGACCCUCGCGGUGGGCU
Mycena floridula is the source of this 115-nucleotide non-coding RNA. The record is from the annotation of a GenBank genome assembly. NCBI's taxonomy places the organism in Eukaryota, Fungi, Basidiomycota, Agaricomycetes, Agaricales, Mycenaceae.